UGGGGAAUAUUGCACAAUGGGCGCAAGCCUGAUGCAGCCAUGCCGCGUGUAUGAAGAAGGCCUUCGGGUUGUAAAGUACUUUCAGCGGGGAGGAAGGGAGUAAAGUUAAUACCUUUGCUCAUUGACGUUACCCGCAGAAGAAGCACCGGCUAACUCCGUGCCAGCAGCCGCGGUAAUACGGAGGGUGCAAGCGUUAAUCGGAAUUACUGGGCGUAAAGCGCACGCAGGCGGUUUGUUAAGUCAGAUGUGACAUCCCCGGGCUCAACCUGGGAACUGCAUCUGAUACUGGCAAGCUUGAGUCUCGUAUAGGGGGGUAGAAUUCCAGGUGGAGCGGUGAAAUGCGUAGAGAUCUGGGGUAAUACCGGUGGCGAAGGCGGCCCCCUGGACGAAGACUGACGCUCAGGUGCGAAAGCGUGGGGAGCAAACAGG
This 429-nucleotide ribosomal RNA is filed under the name Chloroflexota bacterium. RNAcentral describes it as "Chloroflexi bacterium partial 16S ribosomal RNA". It matches the Rfam family "Bacterial small subunit ribosomal RNA", at positions 355 to 776 of the family's 1533-position model. Lineage: Bacteria; Bacillati; Chloroflexota. The record is from RNAcentral.